UACGAAGGGGGCUAGCGUUGCUCGGAAUGACUGGGCGUAAAGGGCGCGUAGGCGGAGUGCUUUGUCGGGCGUGAAAUUCCAGGGCUCAACCUUGGGGCUGCGUUCGAGACGGGCAUUCUAGAGUGGAGAAGAGGGUCGUGGAAUUCCCAGUGUAGAGGUGAAAUUCGUAGAUAUUGGGAAGAACACCGGUGGCGAAGGCGGCGACCUGGUCUUUUACUGACGCUGAGGCGCGAAAGCGUGGGGAGCAAGCAGG
RNAcentral lists this ribosomal RNA (253 nucleotides) under uncultured bacterium. RNAcentral's name for it is "partial 16S ribosomal RNA". It matches the Rfam family "Bacterial small subunit ribosomal RNA", at positions 524 to 776 of the family's 1533-position model. The record is from RNAcentral.